Molecule: ribosomal RNA, 392 nt
Filed under: uncultured bacterium
Lineage: Bacteria
Description: bacterial SSU rRNA
Rfam family: Bacterial small subunit ribosomal RNA
Source: RNAcentral
AUUGAACGCUGGCGGCAUGCCUCACACAUGCAAGUCGAACGGUAACGGGCCUUCGGGUGCCGACGAGUGGCGAACGGGUGAGUAAUGCAUCGGAACGUACCUUUCAGUGGGGGAUAACGUAGCGAAAGUUACGCUAAUACCGCAUAUUCUGUGAGCAGGAAAGCAGGGGAUCGCAAGACCUUGCGCUGAUUGAGCGGCCGAUGUCAGAUUAGCUAGUUGGUGAGGUAAAGGCUCACCAAGGCGACGAUCUGUAGCGGGUCUGAGAGGAUGAUCCGCCACACUGGAACUGAGACACGGUCCAGACUCCUACGGGAGGCAGCAGUGGGGAAUUUUGGACAAUGGGGGCAACCCUGAUCCAGCCAUGCCGCGUGAGUGAAGAAGGCCUCGGUUGU